AUUGAACGCUGGCGGCAUGCCUUACACAUGCAAGUCGAACGGUAACGGGCCUUCGGGUGCCGACGCGUGGCGAACGGGUGAGUAAUACAUCGGAACGUGCCCGAUCGUGGGGGAUAACGAGGCGACAGCUUUGCUAAUAUCGCAUACGAUCUAAGGAUGAAAGCAGGGGACCGCAUGGCAUUGCGCGGACGGAGCGGCAUAUGGCCGAUUCGGUAGUUGGUGGGAUAAAGGCUUACCAAGACGACGAUCUGUAGCUGGUCUGAGAGGAUGGUCAGCCACACUGGAACGGAGACACGGCCCUGACUCCUACGGGAGGCAGCAGUGGGGAAUUUUGGACAAUGGGCGCGAGCCUUAUCCAGCCAUGCCGCGUGCAGUGUGAAGGCCUUCGGGUUGGAAACUGCUUUUGUACGGAACGAAAAGCCUUCUUUUAAUACAGGAGGGUCAUGACGGUACCGUAAGAAUAAGCACCGGCUAACUACGUG
This 482-nucleotide ribosomal RNA is filed under the name uncultured bacterium. Its description in RNAcentral is "partial 16S ribosomal RNA". It matches the Rfam family "Bacterial small subunit ribosomal RNA", at positions 30 to 507 of the family's 1533-position model. The record is from RNAcentral.